UGGGGAAUUUUGGACAAUGGGCGAAAGCCUGAUCCAGCAAUGCCGCGUGUGUGAAGAAGGCCUUCGGGUUGUAAAGCACUUUUGUCCGGAAAGAAAUCCUUGGCUCUAAUACAGUCGGGGGAUACGGUACCGGAAGAAUAAGCACCGGCUAACUACGUGCCAGCAGCCGCGGUAAUACGUAGGGUGCAAGCGUUAAUCGGAAUUACUGGGCGUAAAGCGUGCGCAGGCGGUUUGCUAAGACCGAUGUGAAAUCCCCGGGCUAACCUGGGAACUGCAUUGGUGACUGGCAGGCUAGAGUAUGGCAGAGGGGGGUAGAAUUCCACGUGUAGCAGUGAAAUGCGUAGAGAUGUGGAGGAAUACCGAUGGCGAAGGCAGCCCCCUGGGCCAAUANUGACGCUCAUGCACGAAAGCGUGGGGAGCAAACAGGAUUAGAUACCCUGGUAGUCCACGCCCUAAA
This 457-nucleotide ribosomal RNA is filed under the name uncultured bacterium. RNAcentral's name for it is "partial 16S ribosomal RNA". It matches the Rfam family "Bacterial small subunit ribosomal RNA", at positions 355 to 806 of the family's 1533-position model. The record is from RNAcentral.